UACGGGAGGCAGCAGUGGGGAAUUUUCCGCAAUGGGCGCAAGCCUGACGGAGCAACGCCGCGUGAGGGAUGAAGGCCUCUGGGCUGUAAACCUCUUUUAUCAAGGAAGAAGAACUGACGGUACUUGAUGAAUAAGCCACGGCUAAUUCCGUGCCAGCAGCCGCGGUAAUACGGGAGUGGCAAGCGUUAUCCGGAAUUAUUGGGCGUAAAGCGUCCGCAGGCGGUUUUACAAGUCUGUCGUUAAAGCGUGGAGCUCAACUCCAUUUCAGCGAUGGAAACUGUAAGACUCGAGUGUGGUAGGGGCAGAGGGAAUUCCCGGUGUAGCGGUGAAAUGCGUAGAUAUCGGGAAGAACACCAGUGGCGAAAGCGCUCUGCUGGGCCAUAACUGACGCUCAUGGACGAAAGCCAGGGGAGCGAAAGGGAUUAGAUACCCCUGUAGUCCUGGCCGUAAACGAUGAACACUAGGUGUCGGGGGAAUCGACCCCCUCGGUGUCGUAGCCAACGCGUAAGUUCCCC
Molecule: ribosomal RNA, 515 nt
Filed under: uncultured cyanobacterium
Lineage: Bacteria; Bacillati; Cyanobacteriota
Description: bacterial SSU rRNA
Rfam family: Bacterial small subunit ribosomal RNA
Source: RNAcentral